RNAcentral lists this non-coding RNA (654 nucleotides) under Drechslerella stenobrocha 248. Its description in RNAcentral is "Bacterial large subunit ribosomal RNA". It matches the Rfam family "Bacterial large subunit ribosomal RNA", at positions 1302 to 2043 of the family's 2925-position model. Lineage: Eukaryota; Fungi; Ascomycota; Orbiliomycetes; Orbiliales; Orbiliaceae. The record is from Rfam by way of RNAcentral.
AUGAGUAACGAAAAAGGGAAAAAAAUUUUUUUUUCCUCGCCUUAAGCUUAUGGAAUUAUAUAAGUAACGGCCUCUAAGUUAAUGGACCUAAUGGUCUAAAUGAUGAGAAAAAUCUAAUUGUUUAUUGCGACAACCUUAUAUGAGUGUAUAAGUGUUCUGGAAAAGCAAUACAACUAAGUAAAGAAAAGUGCCAUAAAUUAUUUAUGGUAUUACUUUACAAAGAUAUACCGUACCUAAGAACCAAGAGGUAAGCUAGUAGAGAAUACGAAGGCGCUUGAGUGAACAAUCAUUAAGGAACUCGGCAAACUAACUACCGUAACUUAGGGAGAAGGAGUGCCGAUCCUACCGUUUAAUAUCGGUUUGGAUAAGGAAGCAUAGAAUCGUGUUGUCCGACUGUUUAAUUAAAACAAAGCACGCUGCAUUAAGAUGAAAGUCUAAGUAUAGAGUGUGAUGUCUGCCCGAUGCCGGCUGGUUAACGGAGUUUCUGGGCUGCAUUUAUUAUAAGUGUUGGUCUGGUUUUGAAGGAUACCCCGGUUAAUGGCGGCCUUAACUAUAAGGGUCCAAAGGUAGCAAAAUACCUUGGCUACUAAAUAUAGUCUCGCAUGAAUGAUGUAACGAUACAACAGCUGUCUCGAUGAUUGGCUCAGUGAAAUU